Molecule: ribosomal RNA, 272 nt
Filed under: uncultured bacterium
Lineage: Bacteria
Description: partial 16S ribosomal RNA
Rfam family: Bacterial small subunit ribosomal RNA
Source: RNAcentral
UACGGAGGGUGCAAGCGUUGUUCGGAAUUACUGGGCGUAAAGAGCGUGUAGGCGGUAUGGUAAGUCAGAUGUGAAAGCCCUGGGCUUAACCCAGGAAGUGCAUUUGAUACUGCUAUUCUUGAGUAUGGGAGAGGAGAGUGGAAUUCCCAGUGUAGAGGUGAAAUUCGUAGAUAUUGGGAGGAACAUCCGUGGCGAAGGCGACUCUCUGGACCAAUACUGACGCUGAGACGCGAAAGCGUGGGGAGCAAACAGGAUUAGAAACCCUGUAGUCC